UGUUACUUUACGAUUGGUGAGAUCUAUGAGUAAUCUAAAACAGAGAUUACACACAUUGGGUCACCGAGUUUUGAGUUUUCAGCCUCACUGUCCAAUAAAUAGAACCAAAAUAUCUCCAUUAUGUAAUAUAAUACUGUGGUACUUUUCACCCUCCAAAAUCCAUCACCUCCCUCCAUAAUCAAAACCCAUACUUUCAAGUUUCAACUCUUUUCCCCUCCGCAUGGAAGCCAAAUCCAAAUCACAGGCACACUUUCUCUAUCAACUGAGUGGGAAAUGCUUUGCCCUCUAUCAUCAUCUUCUCUCUAAACUUUCACUUUUACCAUUGAACCAUACAACGAUGCACACAAGAAGGGUGUCCAGGUAAAAGUCUCAAUAUUCAAGAGGAAGAUUGGAAAUUAAUUUGUGUAAGUGGUUAUUGAUAUUGAAAAACAAGUUCCUGAAUGCUGCCAGGGCUCAAUAGGGUUGAAGACAUGACAGUGAGAUGAACCUCAUUUUUGCGUACAAAACCCUGUCAGAAAGGCUUAUUUCUCCUUUGACAGUGAUUUUAAUUUUGCAAUCUUAUUUAUUCAAAUUAUGCACGGAUAAUUGGAAAUAGUGGUGAACCUUCUUUUCUCCGUUUCUUUUGUCCUUGUCCUAUUUUGUUUAGUGGGAAAAAUCAAUUCCAUUUU
This is a long non-coding RNA of Glycine soja, 668 nucleotides long. RefSeq lists it as uncharacterized. Lineage: Eukaryota; Viridiplantae; Streptophyta; Magnoliopsida; Fabales; Fabaceae. The transcript is spliced from 2 exons. The record is from RefSeq and is a predicted model, not a curated record.